UAGAAAUUUGGAAGCAAUCCUUUGUCGUGUCUCUCAUAGACAACUUGGUAUUCAUGACUUCAUGUUGUGAUAAAUAACCAGUUCACCCAACAACAGGGAUGGUGCUUAUUUUUUCAGAGGACCUUAUUGCCUGAGAACACAGCAAGCUGGGGAUGUUCCCACCUGUAAGGGCUACAAAACAGCAGCCAAGCACCCUCCCAUCAUCCCUCUCCCCGUCAUUCAGCACUCAUCACUGAACAAAACAGAAUGAUUCCAGUUUACAAGUCUGCUGUGGAGGUUCAGGAUGUAAAGUGGAGAGGCCAGGUGCCUGUGGGGAGGGAGCUGCCUAGGCAAUGACUGGGCCAGAGCACAAGCAUAGGGACUCACAGUCAUGUCUGUCUGCUCGACAUAGCACUGCAGUACUAAAGACAGGAGAGACAAUUCCUCCACGAGAAACAGAAGAUGGCCAGGGACUUACAGUCAUGUUUGUCUGCUGAAAACAGCUCUGCACUUCUAAAAAGAGGAAGAGACAAUUCCUCCACGAGAAAGGGAAGACGGCCAUGGACUCACAGUCAUGUCUGUCUGCUUAACACAGAACUGCACUUUUAAACACAGGUAGGGAAAAUUCCUCCACGAGAAACAGAAGAUGUCCAGGGACUCACAGUCAUGUUCGUAUGCUCAGCACAGCACUGUACUUCCAAAGACAGGAAGGGACGAUUCAUCCGUGAGAAAGAGAAGAUGACCCGUCAAGAUUUGAAAAACUGUUCAGUCUACAAGGAGAGAAGAGUAAACUUGGUCAUAUACCAUUUCCGAUUUAUAAAAUUAGAAAACAAAACAAUAACAAGAAAAAUAGAAAACGGACACACACAAAAAACUGCUCUGCUGGAGUUCACGAGGAGAGAGGUCAUUCUGCAACCCCUUCCACACUGCGGAUGGACAAUAGUACUCUGAAGAAAAUAACAGUGGAUAGUGACUCAAAAAGGACCUGAGGUGGGAUGUUCUCAGAAUGUUGAGGGAAAUGAUCCCAGGAACAGAAGUGCUUAAGUUGAGACCUGAGAAUAAAGGAGAAGCUGCAGGCUGUGGUGGCUCACAUCUGUAAUCCAAGAACUUUGGGAGACCAAGGUGGGUGGAUGGCUUGGGAUCUGGAGUUUGAGACCAGAUUGGGCAAUAUGACAAAACCCCAUCUCUACAAAAAAAAAAAAAGAAAGAAAAAAAGAAAAAUCAGCCGUGCCUGAUAGUGCACACCUAUAGUCCCAGCUACUCGGGAGGUUGAGGUGGGAGGAUGACCUGAGUCCAGGAGGUGGAGGUUGCAGUGAACUGAGAUCACACCACUGCACUCCAGCCUGGGCAACAGAGUGGGACCCUGUCUCAAGAAAUAAAAAUAAAAUUAAGAGAUGAGGAGAGGCCAUUCAUGAAAUAUUGGAAGAAAUAGGCUUAAAGCUUGAUAGCACAAUGAAAACAGUGGUGAUAUGGAAAUAAGUCUGGUUUUCCAAGAAGUCAACAGAAGUCCCUUGUGACUGUAAAACAGUGAGAAGGAAUAAAGGCAUAGGAGGAGAGAGGAAGAGGAGGUGAUGGUUUUAAAGAAAUUCUUGUCUUUGGGAGUACUCAGCUUGACAUUUUACUCAUAGAAAGAGCAGGUCCUUUCAUUCACAGGCAAAAUUCCUGCAGACUUUCAGAGAAAAAUAUAGUGCCUUUCUAUAUUUCACUCAAUAAAAGCUAUAAAUAGCAUCUAUAAAUCAUCACCAAUUUCCAAACCCAAGAAAUCUAAAAUGACCAGCUUCACUGGCUGAUCAUUUAACUUUUCACCUCUGGAGAAAGUGCUUCUGAUAUUGAUCCCGACAUUCAAACCUCAGGGCAGGAAGGAAGCUCCUCUGUCAAAACCCAAUAAAGCACAAUUACUGUGUAAAGGUGUGAUUUUCUAUUUGGAUAAAACACUCA
This 1917-nucleotide long non-coding RNA is filed under the name Rhinopithecus bieti (black snub-nosed monkey). RNAcentral's name for it is "lncRNA (ENSRBIG00000045051.1)". The record is from RNAcentral. Lineage: Eukaryota; Metazoa; Chordata; Mammalia; Primates; Cercopithecidae.